GAAGGUGGCCUGUGAGGGUUGCUGGAGGUAUCAGAAGUGCGAAUGCUGACAUAAGUAACGAUAAAGCGGGUGAAAAGCCCGCUCGCCGGAAGACCAAGGGUUCCUGUCCAACGUUAAUCGGGGCAGGGUGAGUCGACCCCUAAGGCGAGGCCGAAAGGCGUAGUCGAUGGGAAACGGGUUAAUAUUCCCGUACUUGGUGUUACUGCGAAGGGGGGACGGAGAAGGCUAUGUUGGCCGGGCGACGGUUGUCCCGGUUUAAGCGUGUAGGUGUGUGUUCCAGGUAAAUCCGGUUCACUUUAACACUGAGGCGUGACGACGAGGCACUACGGUGCUGAAGCAACAAAUGCCCUGCUUCCAGGAAAAGCCUCUAAGCAUCAGGUAACAUCAAAUCGUACCCCAAACCGACACAGGUGGUCAGGUAGAGAAUACCAAGGCGCUUGAGAGAACUCGGGUGAAGGAACUAGGCAAAAUGGUGCCGUAACUUCGGGAGAAGGCACGCUGACACGUAGGUGAAGUGAUUUACUCAUGGAGCUGAAGUCAGUCGAAGAUACCAGCUGGCUGCAACUGUUUAUUAAAAACACAGCACUGUGCAAACACGAAAGUGGACGUAUACGGUGUGACGCCUGCCCGGUGCCGGAAGGUUAAUUGAUGGGGUCAGCGCAAGCGAAGCUCCUGAUCGAAGCCCCGGUAAACGGCGGCCGUAACUAUAACGGUCCUAAGGUAGCGAAAUUCCUUGUCGGGUAAGUUCCGACCUGCACGAAUGGCGUAAUGAUGGCCAGGCUGUCUCCACCCGAGACUCAGUGAAAUUGAACUCGCUGUGAAGAUGCAGUGUACCCGCGGCAAGACGGAAAGACCCCGUGAACCUUUACUAUAGCUUGACACUGAACAUUGAGCCUUGAUGUGUAGGAUAGGUGGGAGGCUUUGAAGUGUGGACGCCAGUCUGCAUGGAGCCGACCUUGAAAUACCACCCUUUAAUGUUUGAUGUUCUAACGUGGACCCGUUACCCGGGUUGCGGACAGUGUCUGGUGGGUAGUUUGACUGGGGCGGUCUCCUCCUAAAGAGUAACGGAGGAGCACGAAGGUUGGCUAAUCCUGGUCGGACAUCAGGAGGUUAGUGCAAUGGCAUAAGCCAGCUUGACUGCGAGCGUGACGGCGCGAGCAGGUGCGAAAGCAGGUCAUAGUGAUCCGGUGGUUCUGAAUGGAAGGGCCAUCGCUCAACGGAUAAAAGGUACUCCGGGGAUAACAGGCUGAUACCGCCCAAGAGUUCAUAUCGACGGCGGUGUUUGGCACCUCGAUGUCGGCUCAUCACAUCCUGGGGCUGAAGUAGGUCCCAAGGGUAUGGCUGUUCGCCAUUUAAAGUGGUACGCGAGCUGGGUUUAGAACGUCGUGAGACAGUUCGGUCCCUAUCUGCCGUGGGCGCUGGAGAACUGAGGGGGGCUGCUCCUAGUACGAGAGGACCGGAGUGGACGCAUCACUGGUGUUCGGGUUGUCAUGCCAAUGGCACUGCCCGGUAGCUAAAUGCGGAAGAGAUAAGUGCUGAAAGCAUCUAAGCACGAAACUUGCCCCGAGAUGAGUUCUCCCUGAGACUUAAAGUCUCCUGAAGGAACGUUGAAGACGACGACGUUGAUAGGCCGGGUGUG
This 1639-nucleotide ribosomal RNA is filed under the name Salmonella enterica subsp. enterica serovar Enteritidis. RNAcentral's name for it is "partial 23S ribosomal RNA". It matches the Rfam family "Bacterial large subunit ribosomal RNA", at positions 1252 to 2869 of the family's 2925-position model. Lineage: Bacteria; Pseudomonadati; Pseudomonadota; Gammaproteobacteria; Enterobacterales; Enterobacteriaceae. The record is from RNAcentral.